This 253-nucleotide ribosomal RNA is filed under the name uncultured bacterium. RNAcentral's name for it is "partial 16S ribosomal RNA". It matches the Rfam family "Bacterial small subunit ribosomal RNA", at positions 524 to 776 of the family's 1533-position model. The record is from RNAcentral.
GACGUAGGGCGCGAGCGUUGUCCGGAUUUAUUGGGCGUAAAGAGCUCGUAGGCGGCUUGUCGCGUCGACUGUGAAAUCCCGCGGCUCAACUGCGGGUCUGCAGUCGAUACGGGCAGGCUAGAGUUCGGUAGGGGAGACUGGAAUUCCUGGUGUAGCGGUGAAAUGCGCAGAUAUCAGGAGGAACACCGAUGGCGAAGGCAGGUCUCUGGGCUGCAACUGACGCUGAGGCGCGAAGGCUAGGGUAGCAAACAGG